AUGCCGGGCAGGGACAAUCACAUCAAACGCAGAUGGAAUCUCGGUGGGCAUGACUGGGAAAUCCGUGUAUAUCCGCAUGGCGGUGAGCCAUCGGCUCCCUCCUGGGUGGCAAUCAAUGUUGUCCUUCUCAGCGAGUGCGCUGUGGCUGUGGUGACGACUAUACGUGGUUGCUUGGUUGACCCGAAGGGAGUUCGUGAACCAUCCGAAGAAAUUUGUCGGUCAGUAGCAUUCAGGAAACCCCAAGAUAAAUCAUCUCAAAUGCUUCUCAUGCCAUGGUAUACGCUGAAUAAAUCGCGUUAUCUCAAGGAUGAUUCUUUCAUUGUGCAAUGCACCCUUGAAGUUCUGAAGGAGCUGCCAGAUAUACCAGAACCAGAAGUGCAUGUGCCAGUGCCAACCUCUAACCUGCACCAGCACUUCGCUGAACUCCUGCAGAGCCAGAUGGGAGCGGACGUCACAUUUCUUGUGUCCGGGGAGUCCAUUGUGGCGCACAAGUACAUACUCGCGGUAAGGUCCCGUGUCUUUAAGGCCGCGUUCCUUGGUGACAUGAUUGAGAGGGGCUCGGAAUGCGUGGAGAUUAAGGACAUGGAGGCCGCGGUAUUCAAGGCGUUGCUCCACUUCAUCUACACUGACACUGUGCUAGAAUUCGAACAGCAGGCGGGUGCAGAGGCCAUGAUUACCGAUACCGUGCCAGAAUCCAGACAACAGGAUGAGGCGCAUGAGCAGGCGGCAUCUGUGAUGGCUCUUGCUCAACAUCUACUUGCUGCUGCUGACAGGUAUGGGCUGGACAGGCUCAAGCUCAUCUGCGCCAGAAAGCUCUAUGAUGGCAUCAAAGUGGACACAGCAGCGACAACUUUGGCUUUUGCCGAGCAGUACAACUGCUGGGAGCUCCAGAAGAGGUGUGCUGAUUUCAUUACCAAAGCUUAUGCCGGGAGCUCAUCUCUUGAUGCUGUGGCGGCGACGGAGGGGACCUCUGGUCGUGAUUGA
Molecule: ribosomal RNA, 984 nt
Filed under: Triticum aestivum (bread wheat)
Lineage: Eukaryota; Viridiplantae; Streptophyta; Magnoliopsida; Poales; Poaceae
Description: partial small subunit ribosomal RNA
Source: RNAcentral